Molecule: long non-coding RNA, 1399 nt
Organism: Carassius auratus (goldfish)
Lineage: Eukaryota; Metazoa; Chordata; Actinopteri; Cypriniformes; Cyprinidae
Source: Ensembl
CACAAACUCACUGUGAUUGACAGCAUGAAGUGUGUUACCACAGCAACAGAGUUUGUGAUGACCAAUGAAAGACAGCGUGUAAUACUGAGCUGCAACACACACACUCACACACACACACACACACACACACACUCUGUCUCUCUCACGUACACACACACACACUCUGUCUCUCUCACAUUCACACACACUUUUAGAUUCUCAAAUCACUUCAUUCUAUGUGAUUUAUAAUCUUGUUUCCUCAAGGGCACCUAAAACAUAUCCCCACAAGGAGACUGGUAUCUGCUGGUAUCAUUAUCAGUGUGUGAUGAGUCUUACAGCAGAGCUCCGCUGCGACUGACGAUCACUCUGUGUGUACGGUGUUCACACUCAUCACAUCUGCUCAUAAACACAGACAGCCGCACAGUGAGACUGAUGAGGUGAUGCAGCACAGCUCCUCCUGUCUCCAGCUUCUCAGGGGCUCGUAUGGAGGACCACAGGGACGGGAGGUUUCUUUAAGCUGCUGGUUGCUAGGUGGCAGGCUGAAGAAGGACCUGAGUUAUAUCUUGAGUGAGCACCUCAGAAGAACAAGCUGCAGUGCUACAGCGAGUCCAGCAGAAACACUAAACACACACCAGAAACAACAACAACAAAAGGACAUUUUGUUAAUGAUUGACAUACAGUAGUCCACUAGGGAGCCUCAGCAAACCUCUAUGGGGACCUAAGAGUCUUAAAAUGAUUUUCAUUGAUCUAAUCACUAUCCUUAGAAACUGUAGCAGAUCUUGGCUAAAUACAAUACAAUACAAAUGACAUGUGUUGUUUGUGUAAGCAGCUGGUUAGUCAUCUCUUUAGGAUUUAGUUGUAUUCUGUUGGGCAUUUGAUGCCUGUAAACAACAGUGUACAGUAUAGCACAGAAAUGAAUGGAAAGAAAGAAUAAAAGAGCGUGUGAAAGCUGACUGUUGUUCCAGAAGGACUGCUUGAGAUCAGGAGCAGGACGUGCACAGAUUAAAAAGCUUGUCCUGUUUGAUUGCACGUUCUGCUGUGUGUCUGCUGCCAUGUGACGCUAAAUCCGGUAAACUGCUUCAAUCCUCCGGGUUUGAGGAUUAUAAUGAUUCUCUGAAUGUGAUGUAUUGGAAAGGGACUCGACGGUGUUCACAUGAAGAGACACAGAGUCUCAUCAGUUUCCUCACGCUUGUCGUGACACAGCAGCCACGGUAGUACUGUAUAACUGACACUGUUUUAUUUAUUUCUUUAUAAUAAAUAUUCCCAAACCUGUUAACUAUAUCAUGAAAUGUAUCGAUUCUCAGAUAUGUAAAAGUGUAUGCAUUUUGCACCUUUAUGGAUUAUUGAUCUAUAAUGGAUGAUAGGCAAAGUACCCUAAUACUGUAAUCUAUUAACUAGCAAUAAAAACGUUUUACUUGCG